This 69-nucleotide transfer RNA is filed under the name Ceutorhynchus parvulus. RNAcentral's name for it is "tRNA-His". The record is from RNAcentral. Lineage: Eukaryota; Metazoa; Arthropoda; Insecta; Coleoptera; Curculionidae.
AUUUAAGUAGUUUAUUAAAAAUUUUAAUUUGUGGGAUUAAAGAAAUGGUACUUAAACCCAUCUUAAAUA